This 417-nucleotide long non-coding RNA is filed under the name Homo sapiens (human). Its description in RNAcentral is "HSALNT0209515". Lineage: Eukaryota; Metazoa; Chordata; Mammalia; Primates; Hominidae. The record is from RNAcentral.
CUGCUGGCAGACAGCUAAGGCCAACAUGGAGUCUGUUACUGAGUUUCUUGCUGCUUUUAACAAAAAAUGGAAGAAAGUUCUAUAACCUGGGAAAUAGCAGCAAAGGAACAACGUUGGGAACAAUUUCUGGGCAUAAAAUCGCACAGUGUACUGUGGAAUUAGCUACCAUCUCAUUCCUUUUUCUCAGAGGUUUAUAAACUUGGCUGAAUUAUAGUAGAAAAAGCACUGCAAUGAGAAAUAAGGAGGGCUUUUUCCUAAUCUCUUUUCUUACUCUCUUUGAUCACUAAAUAGGUAGGUAACCUUGGACAGUCUACCAAACGUUUCUAGGCUUUUUUUAAAAGAGAGAUCUCGCUCUGUUGCCUUUGUUGGAUCAUAGCUCACUGCAGCCCUGGACUCCUGGGCUCAAAGUGAUCCUAC